AUGCUGCAGGUGUGUGCCCCGAUACACCCUUCAGCUGGCCUGGGCAGGGUACAGAACCGGGGUGGCAUUCCCGGGGCUGGGCCACUGGCUAAGGCCUCUGAUUCAUCCGCAGGUGAUCCCUGUGUGAGGAACGAGGUCCAGCACACGGUGCCCCGCUCGCUUGGUGUCUACAAAGUUGUACCACCAGACUGGAAGGAUCAACCUACAAGGGCACAAAGGAAAAGGAGAAGGGAAGGGAAAAGAGUCAGCAUGUGUUAUAAAAUGAUUAGAAAAUGGGAAAGGAAGUACCUGGUACAGCAAAAUCAACCAUCAAAUGAACACACCCCAGUGAUGGAGUCACCAAAGCCCAAAGGGGCUCAGUCUCCUUCAGUUCAGGAAUGAAGCGAAGGGAUAAGGAAAGGAAGAGACAGGUACAGGCUUUCCUACCCCACUGUUUCUACUUCCUGCUGCUAAUUAUUAUUAUUACUAUAUUUGGGCUUGUUAGAAAAUUCUGCUUGGCAAGGCAUUCCUUCCUGAAGGAUGGAGCCAGGCGGAGGGCAGGGUAUGGGCCAGGGCUGGGGAAGUGUCAGGAAAACACCCUAAAGCCAUUCCUGGGAGGUUUCAAGCCCCCAAAGGAUUAUUGGAAAACUGAGACUUCAGGCAGGAAUUUUAGCCAUCCUAAGAGUUCUGAACCUGGAAUCCAUGGAUAGCAUUCUGGGGACCAUGAACCAGAGCUGGUAAUUACAUCUUUAUUUAAAUUAACCUUUACCACCAGGUGCAGUGGCACUCACUUACAAUCCCAGGUACUUUGAGGCCUCCAGCAAGACCCCUGUCUCAAAAAAAAAAAAAAUUAACCUUUAACUGAAAUCUAGCAUUUUCUUCAUUUAUGAAUAUAGGUGAUAUUCCGUCUCAACACAUUACAGUCACUGAAAAUAUCUCAAAAUAGCAUUUAUUUAUUUAUUCAGAGACAGAGUCUUGUUCUGUCUCCCAGGCUGGAGUGCAGAGGCAUGAUCUCGGCCUACUGCAACCUCCCGGGUUCCAACGAUUCUCCUCCCUCAAGCUCUGAGUAGCUGGGAUUACAGGCACGCACCACCACGCCCUGCUAAUUUUUGUAUUUUUAGUAGAAACAGGGUUUCACCAUGUUGGCCAGACUGGUCUUGAACUCCUGACCUCGUGAUCCGCCCACCUUGGCCUGCCAAAGUGCUGGGAUUACAGGCAUGAGUCACCACACCUGGCCUCAAAAUAGCGUUUAUCCUCAUCUCCAAGAUCACAAGUUAUUAGACCCACCCCUAGAACUUGUUACUUAAUAUGUUAAUAACUAAGCAAAUAAAUCAUAGACCUAAUUGUAAGAGCUAAAACUA
This 1340-nucleotide long non-coding RNA is filed under the name Piliocolobus tephrosceles (Ugandan red Colobus). Its description in RNAcentral is "lncRNA (ENSPTEG00000039866.1)". The record is from RNAcentral. Lineage: Eukaryota; Metazoa; Chordata; Mammalia; Primates; Cercopithecidae.